Molecule: ribosomal RNA, 237 nt
Filed under: uncultured bacterium
Lineage: Bacteria
Description: partial 16S ribosomal RNA
Rfam family: Bacterial small subunit ribosomal RNA
Source: RNAcentral
UGAGGAACAUGACUUUCGGCGGGGGAGUAGCCGGCCCAACGGCCGGGUAUACCGCGUACGACCUUUCGGGGACGAUCCCCGGUUGGUGAAAGCAGCAAUGCACCGAAAGAGUGCCUCGCGGCCUAUCAGCUAGUUGGUGAGGUAACGGCUCACCAAGGCGACGACGGGUAGCUGGUCUGAGAGGAUGGCCAGCCACAUUGGGACUGAGACACGGCCCAGACUCCUACGGGAGGCAGC